AUAUGCUUAAGUUCAGCGGGUAUCCCUACCUGAUCCGAGGUCAACCUGGAAAAAAUGGUUGGAAAACGUCGGCAGGCGCCGGCCAAUCCUACAGAGCAUGUGACAAAGCCCCAUACGCUCGAGGAUCGGACGCGGUGCCGCCGCUGCCUUUCGGGCCCGUCCCCCCGGAGAGGGGGACGGCGACCCAACACACAAGCCGGGCUUGAGGGCAGCAAUGACGCUCGGACAGGCAUGCCCCCCGGAAUACCAGGGGGCGCAAUGUGCGUUCAAAGACUCGAUGAUUCACUGAAUUCUGCAAUUCACAUUAGUUAUCGCAUUUCGCUGCGUUCUUCAUCGAUGCCGGAACCAAGAGAUCCAUUGUUGAAAGUUUUAACUGAUUGCAUUCAAUCAACUCAGACUGCACGCUUUCAGACAGUGUUCGUGUUGGGGUCUCCGGCGGGCACGGGCCCGGGGGGCAAAGGCGCCCCCCCGGCGGCCGACAAGCGGCGGGCCCGCCGAAGCAACAGGGUAUAAUAGACACGGA
This 523-nucleotide ribosomal RNA is filed under the name Aspergillus niger. RNAcentral's name for it is "partial 28S ribosomal RNA". Lineage: Eukaryota; Fungi; Ascomycota; Eurotiomycetes; Eurotiales; Aspergillaceae. The record is from RNAcentral.